RNAcentral lists this ribosomal RNA (492 nucleotides) under uncultured bacterium. RNAcentral describes it as "partial 16S ribosomal RNA". It matches the Rfam family "Bacterial small subunit ribosomal RNA", at positions 29 to 507 of the family's 1533-position model. The record is from RNAcentral.
AGUGAACGCUGGCGGUAGGCCUAACACAUGCAAGUCGAACGGAAGCACAGUAAGAGCUUGCUCUUACGGGUGGCGAGUGGCGGACGGGUGAGGCAUACAUCGGAAUCUAAUUUUUCGUGGGGGAUAACGUAGGGACACUUCCGCUAAUAGCGCAUACGACCUACGGGUGAAAGCAGGGGAUCUUCGGACCUUGCGCGAUUGAAUGAGCCGAUGUCGGAUUAGCUAGUUGGCGGGGUAAAGGCCCACCAAGGCGACGAUCCGUAGCUGGUCUGAGAGGAUGAUCAGCCACACUGGAACUGAGACACGGUCCAGACUCCUACGGGAGGCAGCAGUGGGGAAUAUUGGACAAUGGGCGCAAGCCUGAUCCAGCCAUACCGCGUGGGUGAAGAAGGCCUUCGGAUUGUAAAGCCCUUUUGUUGGGGAAGAAAAGCAGCAUGUUAAUCCCCCGCUGUUCUGACGGUACCCAAAGAAUAAGCACCGGCUAACUUCGUG